GACGGAGACAGUUGAUCAGCAGCGUGCGAUCGAGGGACAGGCACUUGCAGAUCACGAGGAGUGACCCUUAAUCGCCUAGGAGACUCACUCAGCAGGUGAGUGCCUCACUCAAAACCGCUGAAUUGAGACUCCAUGGCUAGAAGCCGAUCGUACUGUUUUUUAAAGCCCACGGUCAGCUUCUUAAAGCCCUUUCGCGUGUGCCUCAUAAACGUGACAAUGUCAUUCUCGACAGACCGACAUGCCUCGCAACUGUAAUGCAGACCAUUACGCUUUACCCACGAGGCCUGAGAACCCAAUACAUUUUGCGUGCACUACGUUAUCGCAGAGCCAUCAAAGGAUGCUCGGCUGGUCGU
RNAcentral lists this long non-coding RNA (353 nucleotides) under Drosophila guanche. The record is from RNAcentral. Lineage: Eukaryota; Metazoa; Arthropoda; Insecta; Diptera; Drosophilidae.